This 561-nucleotide long non-coding RNA is filed under the name Olea europaea (common olive). RNAcentral's name for it is "long non-coding RNA (OEUR_LNC003296)". The record is from RNAcentral. Lineage: Eukaryota; Viridiplantae; Streptophyta; Magnoliopsida; Lamiales; Oleaceae.
AGGCAAAAGCAUAGAAAAAUCGGCAGAAAGAUAGGAAGAAAGGAAGAGGAAAAGAGAAGAAAGGGAGGAAAAAAAUGGAAAAAAGGAAGGAAGAAAAAGAAAAAGGAAACAUGAGGAAGAAGAAGAAACCUAGGAAGAAGCAGCCACAAUUCUCAGCUGACAUAUUUCACUUUCUUGCUAGGAAUUAACUAUCUAUUAGGGCUAAAGUAUGAGGUGAGAAGGGAUUUUUUUGAGUUUAAGAGUGUGUUCCUUCAGGUGCUUAUAGUUAGCAGUUAAAAUCUUGGCUUCGUUUAUUAGGUUUUAACAAAAAGGAGGCUAUCAUACAAAAUCAGCAAGAAGAGUUAAAGGGAGUUAAAUUUGGUAAGUUUAUUGUACUUGAGUGUGUUAGGGAUGAGAUAAGUAAAAGUAGCUUGAAAUCUAUUGGAGGAGACAUACAGGGAAUGAAAUGGGAUUAUCAGGAUGUGUACAUGUAUUUUCCUUAGAAUAAAGGAGUGGGUAAUGGACAAUGGACUUAUAUGUGGGGGUUACUUUUUAAAAUAACCAAGUCAAAACACCAAUUUU